GUCCUAACUUAGAAGUACAUUGUAAUUUGACAUUUCUUUUUUAACCAAUAAACAUUAAGCUCCAAAUUUGUCCUAAUUGUGAUAAUAGCGUCUAGAUAGGAAGUUGAAUUUACCAUUGUUAUUUUGCUAAUUCUGCCUCGAAAUAGAAUUCAGCUGCUUUAGAAUGAUGUAGAAAACAGGAAGGCAAAUCACUGGAAGAAUUAGUAAGCAGUAUCUAAGUUGUUAAAGAG
This is a non-coding RNA of Pelobates cultripes (western spadefoot toad), 230 nucleotides long. NCBI's taxonomy places the organism in Eukaryota, Metazoa, Chordata, Amphibia, Anura, Pelobatidae. The record is from the annotation of a GenBank genome assembly.